UACAGAGGUGGCAAGCGUUGUUCGGAAUUACUGGGCGUAAAGGGCGUGUAGGCGGCUUUUUAAGUCAGACGUGAAAUCCCCCGGCUUAACCUGGGAACUGCGUCUGAUACUGGAUGGCUUGAGUUCGGGAGAGGGAUGCGGAAUUCCAGGUGUAGCGGUGAAAUGCGUAGAUAUCUGGAGGAACACCGGUGGCGAAGGCGGCAUCCUGGACCGACACUGACACUGAGGAGCGAAAGCCAGGGGAGCAAACGGG
Molecule: ribosomal RNA, 253 nt
Filed under: uncultured bacterium
Lineage: Bacteria
Description: partial 16S ribosomal RNA
Rfam family: Bacterial small subunit ribosomal RNA
Source: RNAcentral